This 468-nucleotide ribosomal RNA is filed under the name uncultured bacterium. Its description in RNAcentral is "partial 16S ribosomal RNA". It matches the Rfam family "Bacterial small subunit ribosomal RNA", at positions 28 to 507 of the family's 1533-position model. The record is from RNAcentral.
GACGAACGCUGGCGGCGUGCUUAACACAUGCAAGUCGAACGGAAAGGCCCUGCUUUUGUGGGGUGCUCGAGUGGCGAACGGGUGAGUAACACGUGAGUAACCUGCCCUUAACUUUGGGAUAACUUCAGGAAACUGGGGCUAAUACCGGAUAGGAGCUCCUGCUGCAUGGUGGGGGUUGGAAAGUUUCGGUGGUUGGGGAUGGACUCGCGGCUUACCAGCUUGUUGGUGGGGUAGUGGCUUACCAAGGCUUUGACGGGUAGCCGGCCUGAGAGGGUGACCGGCCACAUUGAGACUGAGAUACGGCCCAGACUCCUACGGGAGGCAGCAGUGGGGAAUAUUGCACAAUGGGCGGAAGCCUGAUGCAGCAACGCCGCGUGCGAGAUGACGGCCUUCGGGUUGUAACCCGCUUUCGCCUGUGACGAAGCGUGAGUGACGGUAAUGGGUAGAGAAGCACCGGCUAACUACGUG